GCAUAUCAAUAAGCGGAGGAAAAGAAACCAACAGGGAUUGCCUCAGUAACGGCGAGUGAAGCGGCAAAAGCUCAAAUUUGAAAUCUGGCACCUUCGGUGUCCGAGUUGUAAUUUGAAGAAGGUAACUUUGGAGUUGGCUCUUGUCUAUGUUCCUUGGAACAGGACGUCACAGAGGGUGAGAAUCCCGUGCGAUGAGAUGCCCAAUUCUAUGUAAAGUGCUUUCGAAGAGUCGAGUUGUUUGGGAAUGCAGCUCUAAGUGGGUGGUAAAUUCCAUCUAAAGCUAAAUAUUGGCGAGAGACCGAUAGCGAACAAGUACAGUGAUGGAAAGAUGAAAAGAACUUUGAAAAGAGAGUGAAAAAGUACGUGAAAUUGUUGAAAGGGAAGGGCUUGAGAUCAGACUUGGUAUUUUGCAAGCCUUACCUUCGUGGUGGGGUCCCCUGCAGUUUACUGGGCCAGCAUCGGUUUGGAUGGUGGGAUAAUGACUUGGGAAUGUGGCUUUGCUUCGGUAAAGUGUUAUAGCCCUUGUUGAUACCGCCUGUCUAGACCGAGGACUGCGUCUUUGACUAGGAUGUUGGCAUAAUGAUCUUAAGUCGCCCGUCUUGAAACACGGACCAAGGAGUCUAACGUCUAUGCAAGUGUUUGGGUGUAAAACCCGUACGCGUAAUGAAAGUGAACGUAGGUGAGAGCUCUUUUGAGUGCAUCAUCGACCGAUCCUGAUGUCUUCGGAUGGAUUUGAGUAAGAGCAUAGCUGUUGGGACCCGAAAGAUGGUGAACUAUGCCUGAAUAGGGUGAAGCCAGAGGAAACUCUGGUGGAGGCUCGUAGCGGUUCUGACGUGCAAAUCGAUCGUCGAAUUUGGGUAUAGGGGCGAAAGACUAAUCGAACCAUCUAGUAGCUGGUUCCUGCA
Molecule: ribosomal RNA, 905 nt
Filed under: Schwanniomyces capriottii
Lineage: Eukaryota; Fungi; Ascomycota; Pichiomycetes; Serinales; Debaryomycetaceae
Description: LSU rRNA
Rfam family: Eukaryotic large subunit ribosomal RNA
Source: RNAcentral